This 468-nucleotide ribosomal RNA is filed under the name uncultured bacterium. RNAcentral's name for it is "partial 16S ribosomal RNA". It matches the Rfam family "Bacterial small subunit ribosomal RNA", at positions 28 to 507 of the family's 1533-position model. The record is from RNAcentral.
GACGAACGCUGGCGGCGUGCUUAAUACAUGCAAGUCGAACGGAAAGGCGCUGCGUUUGUUGGGUGCUCGAGAGGCGAACAGGGGAGUAACACGCGAGUAACCUGCCCUUGACAGUGGGAUAACUUCAGGAAACUGGGGCUAUUACCCGGGAGGAGCUCCUGCUGCACGGGGUGGAUUGGAAAGUUACGGCGGUUUGGGAUGGACUAGCGGGUUAUCAGCUUGUUGGUGGGGUAGUGGCUUACCAAGCCUUUGAAGGGUAGCCGGCCUGAGAGGAUUACCGGCCACAUUGGGACUGCGAUACGGCCCAGACUCCUACGGGAGGCAGCAGUGGGGAAUAUUGCACAAUGGGCGGAAGCCUGAUGCAGAAACGCCGCGUGCGGGAUGACGGCCUACGGGUUGUAAACCGCUUUCGCCUGUGACGAAGCGUGAGUGACGGUAAUGGGUAAAGAAGGCCCGGCUAACUACGUG